This 73-nucleotide transfer RNA is filed under the name Trichonephila clavata. It matches the Rfam family "tRNA". From Rfam's summary of the family: Transfer RNA (tRNA) molecules are approximately 80 nucleotides in length. Their secondary structure includes four short double-helical elements and three loops (D, anti-codon, and T loops). Further hydrogen bonds mediate the characteristic L-shaped molecular structure. tRNAs have two regions of fundamental functional importance: the anti-codon, which is responsible for specific mRNA codon recognition, and the 3' end, to which the tRNAs corresponding amino acid is attached (by aminoacyl-tRNA synthetases). tRNAs cope with the degeneracy of the genetic code in two manners: having more than one tRNA (with a specific anti-codon) for a particular amino acid; and 'wobble' base-pairing, i.e. permitting non-standard base-pairing at the 3rd anti-codon position. The record is from Rfam by way of RNAcentral. Lineage: Eukaryota; Metazoa; Arthropoda; Arachnida; Araneae; Nephilidae.
GUUCCUGUAGUGCAAUGGAUAGCGCGCUGGACUUUUAAUCCAAAGGUCGUGGGUUCGAAUCCCACCUGGGAUA